UAGGGAAUAUUGGACAAUGGGGGCAACCCUGAUCCAGCCAUGCCGCGUGAGUGAAGAAGGCCCUCGGGUUGUAAAGCUCUUUUGUCCGGAAAGAAAAGCUUCGGGUUAAUACCCCGGGGUUCUGACGGUACCGGAAGAAUAAGCACCGGCUAACUUCGUGCCAGCAGCCGCGGUAAUACGAAGGGUGCAAGCGUUACUCGGAAUUACUGGGCGUAAAGCGUGCGUAGGUGGUUGUUUAAGUCUGAUGUGAAAGCCCUGGGCUCAACCUGGGAAUGGCAUUGGAAACUGGGCAGCUAGAGUGCGGUAGAGGGUAGUGGAAUUCCCGGUGUAGCAGUGAAGUGCGUAGAGAUCGGGAGGAACAUCUGUGGCGAAGGCGACUGCCUGGACCAGCACUGACACUGAGGCACGAAAGCGUGGGGAGCAAACA
This 427-nucleotide ribosomal RNA is filed under the name uncultured bacterium. RNAcentral's name for it is "bacterial SSU rRNA". It matches the Rfam family "Bacterial small subunit ribosomal RNA", at positions 355 to 774 of the family's 1533-position model. The record is from RNAcentral.